This 253-nucleotide ribosomal RNA is filed under the name uncultured bacterium. Its description in RNAcentral is "partial 16S ribosomal RNA". It matches the Rfam family "Bacterial small subunit ribosomal RNA", at positions 524 to 776 of the family's 1533-position model. The record is from RNAcentral.
UACGGAGGGUGCAAGCGUUAUCCGGAUUUACUGGGUUUAAAGGGUGUGUAGGCGGACUUUUAAGUCAGCGGUGAAAUCUCCGGGCUCAACCCGGAAACUGCCAUUGAUACUAUUGGUCUUGAAUGUUGUUGAGGUGGGCGGAACGGGUCAUGUAGCGGUGAAAUGCAUAGAUAUGACCCGGAACACCGAUUGCGAAGGCAGCCCACUAAGCAAUGAUUGACGCUGAGGCACGAAAGCGUGGGGAGCAAACAGG